Cornus florida is the source of this 101-nucleotide small nucleolar RNA. RefSeq annotates it as small nucleolar RNA snoR126. NCBI's taxonomy places the organism in Eukaryota, Viridiplantae, Streptophyta, Magnoliopsida, Cornales, Cornaceae. The transcript has a single exon. The record is from RefSeq and is a predicted model, not a curated record.
GGGCGAUGAUGACAGAAAUCGUUUCUCGAUUCUGAUUUUGGUUAUAUUUAUUGACCAUUAUAUUGCUAUAUGAUGACACUGUUUGUGCGUGUCUGAGCCUU